RNAcentral lists this ribosomal RNA (759 nucleotides) under uncultured bacterium. Its description in RNAcentral is "bacterial SSU rRNA". It matches the Rfam family "Bacterial small subunit ribosomal RNA", at positions 28 to 776 of the family's 1533-position model. The record is from RNAcentral.
GAUGAACGCUAGCUACAGGUUUAACACAUGCAAGUCGAGGGGCAGCAUGGUCUUAGCUUGCUAAGGCCGAUGGCGACCGGCGCACGGGUGAGUAACACGUAUCCAACCUGCCGUCUACUCUUGGACAGCCUUCUGAAAGGAAGAUUAAUACAAGAUGGCAUCAUGAGUCCGCAUGUUCACAUGAUUAAAGGUAUUCCGGUAGACGAUGGGGAUGCGUUCCAUUAGAUAGUAGGCGGGGUAACGGCCCACCUAGUCUUCGAUGGAUAGGGGUUCUGAGAGGAAGGUCCCCCACAUUGGAACUGAGACACGGUCCAAACUCCUACGGGAGGCAGCAGUGAGGAAUAUUGGUCAAUGGGCGAGAGCCUGAACCAGCCAAGUAGCGUGAAGGAUGACUGCCCUAUGGGUUGUAAACUUCUUUUAUAAAGGAAUAAAGUCGGGUAUGCAUACCCGUUUGCAUGUACUUUAUGAAUAAGGAUCGGCUAACUCCGUGCCAGCAGCCGCGGUAAUACGGAGGAUCCGAGCGUUAUCCGGAUUUAUUGGGUUUAAAGGGAGCGUAGAUGGAUGUUUAAGUCAGUUGUGAAAGUUUGCGGCUCAACCGUAAAAUUGCAGUUGAUACUGGAUAUCUUGAGUGCAGUUGAGGCAGGCGGAAUUCGUGGUGUAGCGGUGAAAUGCUUAGAUAUCACGAAGAACUCCGAUUGCGAAGGCAGCCUGCUAAGCUGCAACUGACAUUGAGGCUCGAAAGUGUGGGUAUCAAACAGG